Molecule: transfer RNA, 112 nt
Filed under: Bacteroides phage LoVEphage
Lineage: Duplodnaviria; Heunggongvirae; Uroviricota; Caudoviricetes
Description: tRNA-Gln
Rfam family: tRNA (bases 1-69)
About the family: Transfer RNA (tRNA) molecules are approximately 80 nucleotides in length. Their secondary structure includes four short double-helical elements and three loops (D, anti-codon, and T loops). Further hydrogen bonds mediate the characteristic L-shaped molecular structure. tRNAs have two regions of fundamental functional importance: the anti-codon, which is responsible for specific mRNA codon recognition, and the 3' end, to which the tRNAs corresponding amino acid is attached (by aminoacyl-tRNA synthetases). tRNAs cope with the degeneracy of the genetic code in two manners: having more than one tRNA (with a specific anti-codon) for a particular amino acid; and 'wobble' base-pairing, i.e. permitting non-standard base-pairing at the 3rd anti-codon position.
Source: RNAcentral
UGAGAUAUGGUGUAAUGGCAACACAGCAGAUUUUGGUUCUGCUAUUCAAGGUUCAAAUCCUUAAUACAAGGGAAAUGCGGUGGUUUCACCGAGACAUCUUGUAGGUCGCAUA